GAUGAACGCUGGCGGCGUGCCUAAUACAUGCAAGUCGAGCGAACAGGCGAGGAGCUUGCUCCUCUGACGUUAGCGGCGGACGGGUGAGUAACACGUGGAUAACCUACCUAUAAGACUGGGAUAACUUCGGGAAACCGGAGCUAAUACCGGAUAAUAUAUUGAACCGCAUGGUUCAAUAGUGAAAGACGGUUUUGCUGUCACUUAUAGAUGGAUCCGCGCCGCAUUAGCUAGUUGGUAAGGUAACGGCUUACCAAGGCAACGAUGCGUAGCCGACCUGAGAGGGUGAUAGGCCACACUGGAACUGAGACACGGUCCAGACUCCUACGGGAGGCAGCAGUAGGGAAUCUGCCGCAAUGGGCGAAAGCCUGACGGAGCAACGCCGCGUGAGUGAUGAAGGUCUUCGGAUCGUAAAACUCUGUUAUUAGGGAAGAACAAAUGUGUAAGUAAAUAUGCACGUCUUGACGGUACCUAAUCAGAAAGCCACGGCUAACUACGUG
Molecule: ribosomal RNA, 497 nt
Filed under: uncultured bacterium
Lineage: Bacteria
Description: partial 16S ribosomal RNA
Rfam family: Bacterial small subunit ribosomal RNA
Source: RNAcentral